AUUACGAGCAAUGCUUAAAACCCAAAGGACUUGACGGUGUCCCACCCACCUAGAGGAGCCUGUUCUAUAAUCGAUUAUCCCCGAUAAACCCUACCACUUCUAGCCUAUUAGUCUAUAUACCUCCGUCGAUAGCUCACCAUGUAACGGGCAGCAGUAGGCUUACUGUUUCCCAUCAGCAAGUCAGAUGAAGGUGCACCUUAAGAAAUGGCAAGUAAUGGGACGAAUUUAGUAAGUUUAGAGAAACUAAAGACUGAUUUUUAAUCCGGUUUCGAAGGUGGACUUAGUAGUAAAAGGAAAUAAGAGUGUUCCCUUUAACGCGGCUCUGGGAACGCGUACAUACCGCCCGUCACCCUCUUCGAUUGUACCUAUGCCGUAUUUAACCCACCACCACAUUUUAGAAGAGGCAAGUCGUAACAUUGGUAA
Molecule: ribosomal RNA, 423 nt
Filed under: Kaloula borealis (Manchurian narrowmouth toad)
Lineage: Eukaryota; Metazoa; Chordata; Amphibia; Anura; Microhylidae
Description: partial 12S ribosomal RNA
Rfam family: Bacterial small subunit ribosomal RNA
Source: RNAcentral